RNAcentral lists this long non-coding RNA (1215 nucleotides) under Triticum aestivum (bread wheat). Its description in RNAcentral is "long non-coding RNA (TAES_LNC011016)". Lineage: Eukaryota; Viridiplantae; Streptophyta; Magnoliopsida; Poales; Poaceae. The record is from RNAcentral.
AGAUAUCUGCUAAGGAACUGAACUGUAUGAAGUAGGAAUUGACAAGCAAGUUACAGAAGGUUCCGCCAACCUGAAAUUCGUCUUCGACGUUUCCAGAAAAUGACACACCAUCACAGUAUCUUCACUUUAAUUAUAAAAAUCUGCAGGUCUAAAUGACUAUUUCUCAGCAGAUGUGAAAGUGUAGUGCCUAUAUCACUGCAGACUGAAUCAAAAAGAUCGCUCACACAUAAAAAGGGAUUCCUAAAAUCCACCCAGAACAGCAAGAUAUUAUUCUAUCUCAAACAAAAUUGAACAAUAGGUCUAUAGCUCAUUAUUACAACAAACUCGACUGCCAUACAAAAUAACAGGCUACAACAAAUUUUGUGACAGAAGCUAGAAAGUAGAAAUCUUACAUCUUUUUCAAAGCUCUGGCGGUUGUUGGCUUGGAGCUCCUAAACCUGCUUUUCGCAUACAGUGCAGGUCAAAUCUCAGCCUCUUGUCAUAGUCACAGUACGAUCUCCCCUGAAAUCCUCCUCACGGGCCACCAUCUCCAAACCUUCAUGGGCCAAAGAAGAAGAUAAUAGAACAUGCCAAACAGAUUGACAAAAGUGUCGUAAUAAGCAUAUAUUUUUAAUUGCGGUAGAAAGAUUGAGCCUAGGAGUAUCUAUUUUUUGUUUCUUUGUGUGUUGCAUUUGCACCUGCACAAAAAUUGAUCACUGCAAUAUUCUUCCUAAUCUAGAAUGUGCAGUAUUUGCCAAUCUAGCUCAUUACAAAAUCAUCAUAUAGGGAAGCUCAGCAUUGAGAAAAGAAAGAUACAAGAAAAAAAAAGAGGAAUAGACAAAGAAGAAAUUAUUAUUGCUAUAUUUUUUCUAGAAGAUAACCUGGCCUAUAUGAUUACAUUGAUCUAGGCAAAGAUCUUUACCCAAGAUCCUUCUCUCUAAUUAUCAAAUAUUCAUGCUUGGAGUUAAAACCAAACAAACUUGCAUCUUGAUCUACCUAGACUUUUUACUUACAACACCGACCGUACAGUGCACUUUAUCCACAGUGCAAACUGAAAGACAUGCAGUUCUUGUUUCAGAAUCGAAGAGAUAUGCACGCAUAUCAUGGUACUGAAAGAUAGUUACUGGAAGAUGAUAGAGUUGUGAUAUGUGACAUAUAACAAAGGUUGCAACGUGGAAAAUCAGAACACAAAAUUCGAAUUGAUCUAGUGAGCGAAUGAUGCUUACACAAUCUGAA